AAAUAAAAAACAUUAUGGCUGUCAUUGACCAGAAUGACUCCAUUGAAACAAAGAUCUUGCAGCCUCCAAGCACUAGCAGUGUAUCUCAAUGAAGACCCUGAAAAGCUAGUGAAGGAGUACAGAAGUGAGACCCCUGAUGAAACCCAGGC
Long non-coding RNA from Nematolebias whitei (Rio pearlfish), 149 nucleotides. RefSeq lists it as uncharacterized. Lineage: Eukaryota; Metazoa; Chordata; Actinopteri; Cyprinodontiformes; Rivulidae. The transcript is spliced from 3 exons. The record is from RefSeq and is a predicted model, not a curated record.